This 607-nucleotide long non-coding RNA is filed under the name Homo sapiens (human). RNAcentral's name for it is "HSALNT0174533". The record is from RNAcentral. Lineage: Eukaryota; Metazoa; Chordata; Mammalia; Primates; Hominidae.
GGCAAACCCUGAGAAGAUCUGAAUGAAGGAAGUUGAUUUGAGAGUGUUCUCUGGACCAACAUCUGUUGGGAGGUGCCAUUGUCAUCAUCAUCAACAUCCUUCAAUUUACAAAGGAGUGCUCUGUGACCUGGAGGGGCUGAGUAACUUACCCAAGACUACACAGCCAGUGAGAAGCAAAGCGAAGAUUUGAAACCUGGGCAACUGGGCUCCGGAGAAGAACCCUACUGCCAGGUUCUGGGAGUUACUUUAUAGGUAACAGAAGUACAGAGUUUGGAGCCAUCAUAAGGAAUGAAAUAUUGGCAUUUGCAGCAACCUGGAUGGAGUUGGAGACCAUUGUUCAGAAACCAAAUAUCAUAUGUUCUCACUUAUAAGUGGGAGUUAAGCUAUGAGGAUGCAAAGGUGUAAGAAUGAUAUAAUAGACUUUGGGGACUCAGGGGAAGGGAGGGAAAGGGGUGAAGAAUAAAAGACUGACUACACAGUGGGUACAGUGUACACUGCUCUGGUGAUGGGUGCAUCAAAAUCUCAGAAGUCACCACCAAAGAACUUAUCCAUGUAACCCAAAACCACCUGUUCCCCCAAAACUACUGAAAUAAAAUAAAAUUGAAAA